GAUGAACGCUGGCGGCGUGCCUAAUACAUGCAAGUCGAACGAACAGACGAGGAGCUUGCGCGUCUGACGUGAGCGGCGGACGGGUGAGUAACACGUGUAUAACCUACCUAUAAUACGGGUAUAACUACGGAAAACCGGAUCUAAUACCGGAUAAUAUAUUGAACCGCAGGGGUCAAUGGUGAAAGACGGCUUUUCUGGCACUUAUAGAUGGUUCCGGGCCGUAUGAUCUAGUUGUUAAGGUAACGGCUUACCAAGGCAACCAUGCGUAAACGAGCGGAGAGGGUGAUAGGCCACAUUGGAAGGGGGACACGGUCCAGACUCCUACGGGAGGCAGCAGUCGGGAAUCUUACGCAAUGGGCGAAAGCCUGACGGAGCAACGCCGCGUGAGUGAUGAAGGUCUUGGGAUCGUAAAACUCUGUUAUUGGGGAAGAACAGAUGUGUACGUAGACAUGGCGGUCUUGACGGUACCUAAUAAGAAAGCACCGGCUAACUACGUG
RNAcentral lists this ribosomal RNA (497 nucleotides) under uncultured bacterium. RNAcentral's name for it is "partial 16S ribosomal RNA". It matches the Rfam family "Bacterial small subunit ribosomal RNA", at positions 28 to 507 of the family's 1533-position model. The record is from RNAcentral.